GACGAACGCUGGCUGCGUGCUUAACACAUGCAAGUCGAACGCUGAAACCCUGGUGCUUGCACCGGGGUGGAUGAGUGGCGAACGGGUGAGUAACACGCGAGUAACCUGCCCCCGACUUCGGGAUAAGCCCGGGCAACUGGGUCUAAUACCGGAUAUGAGCGCCCCUCGCAUGAGGGAUGCUGGAAAGUCUUUUCGGGUGGGGAUGGGCGCGCGGCCUAUCAGGUUGUUGGUGAGGUAAUGGCUCACCAAGACGACGACGGGUAGCCGGCCUGAGAGGGCGACCGGCCACACUGGGACUGAGACACGGCCCAGACUCCUACGGGAGGCAGCAGUGAGGAAUAUUGCACAAUGGGGGAAACCCUGAUGCAGCGACGCAGCGUGCGGGAUGACGGCCUUCGGGUUGUAAACCGCUUUCAGCAGGGAAGAAGCCCCUUGGGGUGACGGUACCUGCAGAAGAAGUACCGGCUAACUACGUGCCAGCCGCCGCCGUAA
This 492-nucleotide ribosomal RNA is filed under the name uncultured bacterium. RNAcentral describes it as "partial 16S ribosomal RNA". It matches the Rfam family "Bacterial small subunit ribosomal RNA", at positions 28 to 523 of the family's 1533-position model. The record is from RNAcentral.